ACGAGAAAGGGGAGCAAUCCCUGAGUACAGUGGCGACCGGGUGAGUAACACGUGACUACCUGCCCUCCAGUGGGGGAUAACUCCGGGAAACCGGGGCUAAUACCGCAUAACACCGUGAGGUCAAAGCAGCAAUGCGCUGGAGGAGGGGGUCGCGGCUGAUUAGCUUGUUGGCGGGGUAACGGCCCACCAAGGCGAUGAUCGGUAGCCGGCCUGAGAGGGCGCACGGCCACACUGGAACUGAAACACGGUCCAGACUCCUACGGGAGGCAGCAGUGGGGAAUUUUGCGCAAUGGGGGAAACCCUGACGCAGCAACGCCGCGUGGAGGAUGAAGUCCCUUGGGACGUAAACCCCUUUCGACCCGGACGAUGAUGACGGUACGGGUGGAAGAAGCCCCGGCUAACUUCGUGCCAGCAGCCGCGGUAAUACGAGGGGGGCGAGCGUUGUUCGGAAUUAUUGGGCGUAAAGGGCGCGUAGGCGGUGCGGUAAGUCUCCUGUGAAAUCCCCCGGCUCAACUGGGGGCCUGCAGGCGAAACUGCCGUGCUCGAGGGUGGGAGAGGUGCGUGGAAUUCCCGGUGUAGCGGUGAAAUGCGUAGAGAUCGGGAGGAACACCUGUGGCGAAAGCGGCGCACUGGACCAUUGCUGACGCUGAGGCGCGAAAGCUAGGGGAGCAAACAGGAUUAGAUACCCUGGUAGUCCUAGCCCUAAACCAUGGAUGCUUGGUGUAGCGGGUACCCAAUCCCGCUGUGCCGCAGCUCACGCGAUAAGCAUCCCGCCUGGGGAGUACGGUCG
This 790-nucleotide ribosomal RNA is filed under the name uncultured bacterium. RNAcentral's name for it is "bacterial SSU rRNA". It matches the Rfam family "Bacterial small subunit ribosomal RNA", at positions 66 to 888 of the family's 1533-position model. The record is from RNAcentral.